AAAGGUUUAGUUUUAAUAAAACAUAAAUUUGUCAAAUUUAAAAUACUAAUAUUAGUAAUCUUUU
RNAcentral lists this transfer RNA (64 nucleotides) under Erragonalia choui. Its description in RNAcentral is "tRNA-Asp". Lineage: Eukaryota; Metazoa; Arthropoda; Insecta; Hemiptera; Cicadellidae. The record is from RNAcentral.